RNAcentral lists this small RNA (513 nucleotides) under Pongo abelii (Sumatran orangutan). RNAcentral's name for it is "sense intronic". Lineage: Eukaryota; Metazoa; Chordata; Mammalia; Primates; Hominidae. The record is from RNAcentral.
CCUCCUCAUUGCCUUAAAAAGCAUCCAGUUUAAUUAAAAUAAGAUUUAAAAUGCUUAUAAGUAUUUAUGGGGGUUUUUUGUUUUUGUUUUUUGUUUUUUUGAGACAGUCUCGCGUGUCACCCAGGCUGGAGUGCAGUGGAACAGUCUUGGUUCACUGCAGCCUCAACCUCCUGUGCUCAAGCAAUCCUUCCUACUCAGCCCCCCAGUAGUUGGGACUACAGGUGCACACCAGCACGCCUGGCAAUUUUUGUGUGUUUUAUAGAGACAGGAUUUCACCAUGUUGCCCAGGGUAGUCUCAAACUCCUAGCCUCAAGCGAUCCUCCCACCUUGGGCUCCCAAAGUGCUGCAUUGCAGGCAUGAGCCACUGUGCUUGGCUCAAGAAGAAAGGAUAUUAUUUCUUUCUUUUUCUUUUGUUUUGGACGGAGUCUCGCUCUGUCGCCAGGUUGCAGUGAGCUGAGAUUGCGCCACUGCACUCCAGCCUGGGCGACAGAGCAAGACUCUGUCUCAAAAAAC